ACGCUGGCGGCAGGCCUAACACAUGCAAGUCGAGCGGUAACAGGAAUUAGCUUGCUAAUUCGCUGACGAGCGGCGGACGGGUGAGUAAUGCCUGGGAAUAUGCCUUGAUGUGGGGGAUAACUAUUGGAAACGAUAGCUAAUACCGCAUAAUGUCUUCGGACCAAAGAGGGGGAUCUUCGGACCUCUCGCGUCAAGAUUAGCCCAGGUGAGAUUAGCUAGUUGGUGGGGUAAGAGCUCACCAAGGCGACGAUCUCUAGCUGGUCUGAGAGGAUGAUCAGCCACACUGGAACUGAGACACGGUCCAGACUCCUACGGGAGGCAGCAGUGGGGAAUAUUGCACAAUGGGCGAAAGCCUGAUGCAGCCAUGCCGCGUGUAUGAAGAAGGCCUUCGGGUUGUAAAGUACUUUCAGUCGUGAGGAAGGGUGUGCAGUUAAUAGCUGUACAUCUUGACGUUAGCGACAGAAGAAGCACCGGCUAACUCCGUGCCAGCAGCCGCGGUAAUACGGAGGGUGCGAGCGUUAAUCGGAAUUACUGGGCGUAAAGCGCAUGCAGGUGGUUCAUUAAGUCAGAUGUGAAAGCCCGGGGCUCAACCUCGGAACCGCAUUUGAAACUGGUGAACUAGAGUGCUGUAGAGGGGGGUAGAAUUUCAGGUGUAGCGGUGAAAUGCGUAGAGAUCUGAAGGAAUACCAGUGGCGAAGGCGGCCCCCUGGACA
Molecule: ribosomal RNA, 713 nt
Filed under: Vibrio sp. 7G08
Lineage: Bacteria; Pseudomonadati; Pseudomonadota; Gammaproteobacteria; Vibrionales; Vibrionaceae
Description: bacterial SSU rRNA
Rfam family: Bacterial small subunit ribosomal RNA
Source: RNAcentral